RNAcentral lists this ribosomal RNA (200 nucleotides) under uncultured bacterium. Its description in RNAcentral is "partial 16S ribosomal RNA". It matches the Rfam family "Bacterial small subunit ribosomal RNA", at positions 30 to 229 of the family's 1533-position model. The record is from RNAcentral.
AUUGAACGCUGGCGGCAUGCCUUACACAUGCAAGUCGAACGGCAGCACGGGAGCAAUCCUGGUGGCGAGUGGCGAACGGGUGAGUAAUACAUCGGAACGUGCCCAGUCGUGGGGGAUAGCCCGGCGAAAGCCGGAUUAAUACCGCAUACGACCUACGGGUGAAAGCGGGGGAGUCGCAAGACCUCGCGCAAUUGGAGCGG